UGGCGGACGGGUGAGUAAUGUCCGGGAAACUGCCUGAUGGAGGGGGAUAACUACUGGAAACGGUAGCUAAUACCGCAUAACGUCGCAAGACCAAAGAGGGGGACCCUCGGGCCUCUUGCCAUCGGAUGUGCCCAGAUGGGAUUAGCUUGUUGGUGGGGUAACGGCUCACCAAGGCGACGAUCCCUAGCUGGUCUGAGAGGAUGACCAGCCACACUGGAACUGAGACACGGUCCAGACUCCUACGGGAGGCAGCAUG
Molecule: ribosomal RNA, 256 nt
Filed under: uncultured bacterium
Lineage: Bacteria
Description: partial 16S ribosomal RNA
Rfam family: Bacterial small subunit ribosomal RNA
Source: RNAcentral